Mustela putorius furo (domestic ferret) is the source of this 109-nucleotide small nuclear RNA. The record is from Ensembl. NCBI's taxonomy places the organism in Eukaryota, Metazoa, Chordata, Mammalia, Carnivora, Mustelidae.
GUCAUCCAUUCAAGGCAGCACAUAUGCUAAAAUUGAAAUGAUAUAGCGAAGAUUAGCAUGGCUCCUGUGCAAGUUUGAAACGCAAAUUUGUGAAGUAUUCCGUAUUUUU